RNAcentral lists this non-coding RNA (1035 nucleotides) under Selaginella moellendorffii. RNAcentral's name for it is "Eukaryotic small subunit ribosomal RNA". It matches the Rfam family "Eukaryotic small subunit ribosomal RNA", at positions 4 to 1116 of the family's 1831-position model. Lineage: Eukaryota; Viridiplantae; Streptophyta; Lycopodiopsida; Selaginellales; Selaginellaceae. The record is from Rfam by way of RNAcentral.
UUAGUUGAUCCUACCAGUAGUCAUAUACUUGUUUCAAAGAUUAGGCCAUGAAUGUGCAAGUAUAAACUGCUUUAUAUUGUGAAAUUGUGAAUUGGCUUAUUAAAUCAAUAAUAGUUUAUUUGAUAAUACCUUACCACUUAGAUAACUAUAGUAAUUCUAUAACUAAUAUGUGUAAAGAGUCCUGACCUUUAGAAGGGAUGCACUUACUAGAUUCAAGACCAAUACAGGCUCACCUAUAUUCUCAAUGGUCCAUGAUAACUUGUUGAAUUAUAUAGCCCUUGUGCCAGUGAUACUUAAAUUAAAUUUCUACCCUAUCAACUUUCGAUAGUAGGAUAAAGGCCUACCAUAGUAGUGAUGGGUAACGGGGAAUUAGGGUUUGAUUUUGAGACACAGCUACCACAUCCAGAAAGGCAGCAGACGCACAAAUUAUCCAAUCCUAACAUUGGGAGGUAGUGACAAUAAAUAAUAAUACCAGGCUUUCAAAUUGGAAUGAGUACAAUAUAAAUUUCUUAAGUAAGAUUCAUUGGAGGGCAAGUCUAGUGCCAAUAGCUAUAGUAAUGCUAACUCUAUUAACAUGUUGUUACAAUUAAAAAGUUCAUUUGGAUCUUAGGACAAGAUGAAUGGUUUGCCCUUAGGGGCACUUGUCACCCCAUCCUAUGAGUCAAUGAUGCUAAUUUGAUAGGUGUGGAGUCAGUAAUGUUACUUUGAAAAAAUUAGAGUGCUUAAAGGAAACUUAUACUCUAAAUACAUUAGCAUGGAAUAAUGUAAUAGGACUUUGGUCCUGUUGUGUUAGUCUCCAAGAUAGAAGUAAUGAUUAAUAGGGACAAUUUGGGGCAUUUGUACUCCAUUGUUAGAGAUGAAAUUCUUAAGCAUUUGCUGAGGAUGUUUUUAUUAAUCAAAAAUGAAAGUUGGGAGCUCAAAUAUGAUUAGAUACCAUUUUAGUCUUAACCAUAAAUGAUGAUAAUUAGGGAUUGGUAAAUGUUAUUUGGAUGACAUUGCCAUCACCUCAUGAGAAAUCAAAGUCUUUGGGUUCCA